AUGAACCACUUCGGUGGGGAUUAGUGGCGAACGGGUGAGUAACACGUGGGCAAUCUGCCCUGCACUCUGGGACAAGCCCUGGAAACGGGGUCUAAUACCGGAUACUGAUCCUCGCAGGCAUCUGCGAGGUUCGAAAGCUCCGGCGGUGCAGGAUGAGCCCGCGGCCUAUCAGCUAGUUGGUGAGGUAACGGCUCACCAAGGCGACGACGGGUAGCCGGCCUGAGAGGGCGACCGGCCACACUGGGACUGAGACACGGCCCAGACUCCUACGGGAGGCAGCAGUGGGGAAUAUUGCACAAUGGGCGAAAGCCUGAUGCAGCGACGCCGCGUGAGGGAUGACGGCCUUCGGGUUGUAAACCUCUUUCAGCAGGGAAGAAGCGAAAGUGACGGUACCUGCAGAAGAAGCGCCGGCUAACUACGUGCCAGCAGCCGCGGUAAUACGUAGGGCGCAAGCGUUGUCCGGAAUUAUUGGGCGUAAAGAGCUCGUAGGCGGCUUGUCACGUCGGUUGUGAAAGCCCGGGGCUUAACCCCGGGUCUGCAGUCGAUACGGGCAGGCUAGAGUUCGGUAGGGGAGAUCGGAAUUCCUGGUGUAGCGGUGAAAUGCGCAGAUAUCAGGAGGAACACCGGUGGCGAAGGCGGAUCUCUGGGCCGAUACUGACGCUGAGGAGCGAAAGCGUGGGGAGCGAACAGGAUUAGAUACCCUGG
This 705-nucleotide ribosomal RNA is filed under the name Streptomyces sp. DRL379. RNAcentral's name for it is "bacterial SSU rRNA". It matches the Rfam family "Bacterial small subunit ribosomal RNA", at positions 69 to 790 of the family's 1533-position model. Lineage: Bacteria; Bacillati; Actinomycetota; Actinomycetes; Kitasatosporales; Streptomycetaceae. The record is from RNAcentral.